This 292-nucleotide microRNA precursor is filed under the name Solanum lycopersicum (tomato). RNAcentral's name for it is "miR319b stem-loop (sly-MIR319b)". Its record names the gene sly-MIR319b. The stretch from base 49 to 240 matches the Rfam family "MIR159 microRNA precursor family". The record is from miRBase by way of RNAcentral. Lineage: Eukaryota; Viridiplantae; Streptophyta; Magnoliopsida; Solanales; Solanaceae.
GUCCCCUUUUUUAAGAUUCUAAUUUUGUGAUUUAGAUGUAAUGUGGAAGAUGGUAUAAGAGAGCUUCCUUUAGUCCACUCAUAGGUAGACGAAGGAUUUGAAUUAUCUCCCGACUCAUUCAUUCAAACGCAAUAGGAAGUAUGUAAUCUUAUACUAUUGUGAAUGUGUGAAUGAUGCGGGAGAUAAAUUCUCUCCUUUUUAUCUGUGCUUGGACUGAAGGGAGCUCCCUUUUACCUUCUUUCUUCGGUUUCUUUUAGUCGAAUUGGUUUCUUAUGAAUUAGUUGUUUGGGGC